UACGGAGGGUGCAAGCGUUGCUCGGAAUUACUGGGCGUAAAGCGACCGCAGGCGGUUUAUCAGGUCCGAUGUGAAAGCCCAGGGCUCAACCCUGGAACUGCAUCGGAAACCGGUAGACUUGAGUACGGGAGAGGAGGGCGGAAUUCCUGGUGUAGGGGUGAAAUCCGUAGAUAUCAGGAGGAACGCUCGCGGCGAAGGCGGCUCUCUGGCCCGAUACUGACGCUCAUGGUCGAAAGCAUGGGUAGCAAACAGG
This 253-nucleotide ribosomal RNA is filed under the name uncultured bacterium. Its description in RNAcentral is "partial 16S ribosomal RNA". It matches the Rfam family "Bacterial small subunit ribosomal RNA", at positions 524 to 776 of the family's 1533-position model. The record is from RNAcentral.